UGAUUAACCCUAGUGGAAAAGGGCAAAGUCGGAAUUGCACAAAAACUUAACAUUAUGAUUCGACUUACAAUCAUAAGUCUGUCAUUUUCAACAAGUCAACAAAAACUGCAUAUCCUUUUUAACCAUGACUUUCAAUAAAAUUGUCCUUAUGGAGGGUUGACUCAAAAGAGAUUAUCCUUCUCACCGAGAAAAACAUGAUUGGUGUCCUUCUCAAAAGUUACUUCCAGAUAUAACUAUUACAUCAUAGAACUAAUUACUCAGAAUCUAGUGGGUGUUCAUUAUCUUUGUACCAAAGGGCUGUCUUCUACAAGGUUCUUUAGCUAACAUCCAAACUCUCUGUCAGACCUACUGCCAUCAGUUUGAGAAGAGAUAUUAGGACAGGUCAGCAUAACUGAAAGUAGCUAGAUGUUCUGUUAUAUUGUAAGGGACAUUUUGUUAAAACUGUAAUGAACCACUCAUAGCCCAAUUCCUUAUUCUUUUCUUCUCAAAAUGAAAAUAUAUCUUUUAAAUUUUCAAAUCC
This 520-nucleotide long non-coding RNA is filed under the name Aquilegia coerulea. Its description in RNAcentral is "long non-coding RNA (ACOE_LNC000289)". Lineage: Eukaryota; Viridiplantae; Streptophyta; Magnoliopsida; Ranunculales; Ranunculaceae. The record is from RNAcentral.